CGCCGCGGUGAUACGUAGGGUGCGAGCGUUGUCCGGAUUUAUUGGGCGUAAAGAGCUUGUAGGCGGUUUGUUGCGUCGGAAGUGAAAACUCAGGGCUUAACUCUGAGCCUGCUUUCGAUACGGGCAGACUUGAGGAAGGUAGGGGAGAAUGGAAUUCCUGGUGAAGCGGUGGAAUGCGUAGAUAUCAGGAGGAACACCGGUGGCGAAGGCGGUUCUCUGGACCUUUCCUGACGCUGAGAAGCGAAAGCGUGGGGAGCAAACAGGCUUAGAUACCCUGGUAGUCCACGCCGUAAACGGUGGGUACUAGGUGUGGGGGACAUUCCACGUUCUCCGUGCCGUAGCUAACGCAUUAAGUACCCCGCCUGGGGAGUACGGCCGCAAGGCUAAAACUCAAAGGAAUUGACGGGGCCCCGCACAAGCGGCGGAGCAUGCGGAUUAAUUCGAUGCAACGCGAAGAACCUUACCUGGGUUUGACAUAUGCCGGAAACAUCUAGAGAUAGGUGCCCCUUUUUGGUCGGUUUACAGGUGGUGCAUGGCC
RNAcentral lists this ribosomal RNA (538 nucleotides) under uncultured archaeon. RNAcentral's name for it is "bacterial SSU rRNA". It matches the Rfam family "Bacterial small subunit ribosomal RNA", at positions 513 to 1050 of the family's 1533-position model. The record is from RNAcentral.